Molecule: ribosomal RNA, 284 nt
Filed under: uncultured Bacteroides sp.
Lineage: Bacteria; Pseudomonadati; Bacteroidota; Bacteroidia; Bacteroidales; Bacteroidaceae
Description: partial 16S ribosomal RNA
Rfam family: Bacterial small subunit ribosomal RNA
Source: RNAcentral
UCGAGGGGCAGCGGGAUUGAAGCUUGCUUCAAUUGCCGGCGACCGGCGCACGGGUGAGUAACGCGUAUCCAACCUGCCGAUGACUCGGGGAUAGCCUUUCGAAAGAAAGAUUAAUACCCGAUGGCAUAGUUCUUCCGCAUGGUAGAACUAUUAAAGAAUUUCGGUCAUCGAUGGGGAUGCGUUCCAUUAGAUAGUAGGCGGGGUAACGGCCCACCAAGCCGACGAUAUCUAGGGGUUCUGAGAGGAAGGUCCCCACACUGGUACUGAGACACGGUCCAUACUCC